Molecule: ribosomal RNA, 460 nt
Filed under: uncultured bacterium
Lineage: Bacteria
Description: partial 16S ribosomal RNA
Rfam family: Bacterial small subunit ribosomal RNA
Source: RNAcentral
CCUACGGGUGGCAGCAGUGAGGAAUAUUGGUCAAUGGACGAGAGUCUGAACCAGCCAAGUAGCGUGAAGGAUGACUGCCCUAUGGGUUGUAAACUUCUUUUAUAUGGGAAUAAAAUGUUCCACGUGUGGGAUUUUGUAUGUACCAUAUGAAUAAGGAUCGGCUAACUCCGUGCCAGCAGCCGCGGUAAUACGGAGGAUCCGAGCGUUAUCCGGAUUUGUUGGGUUUAAGGGGAGCGUAGAUGGGUUGUUAAGUCAGUUGUGAAAGUUUGCGGCUCAACCGUAAAAUUGCAAUUGAUACUGGCAGCCUUGAGUACAGUUGAGGUAGGCGGAAUUCGUGGUGUAGCGGUGACAUGCUUAGAUAUCACGAAGAACUCCGAUUGCGAAGGCAGCCUACUAAACUGCCACUGACAUUGAUGCUCGAAAGUGUGGGUAUCAAACAGGAUUAGAUACCCUUGUAGUC